Molecule: long non-coding RNA, 1072 nt
Filed under: Homo sapiens (human)
Lineage: Eukaryota; Metazoa; Chordata; Mammalia; Primates; Hominidae
Description: HSALNT0174428
Source: RNAcentral
GACAAAAUGGUGAGAUAUGACCUUCCUGGUACAGUCCGCUGGAAAAAGAGAAGAAAGCCUCGGAUGGGCAUGAGUGCAACUUUCUAAAUACAGUGUGCAGUGAUCAGUUCCCAAGGAUGGUUCUUACAAGGAGAAAAUCCAGAAACUAUCAAUUGGCUACCUUGAUGUGAUCCUCUUCAUGAGGAAGCUUGGACUUCUCCCUGCUUCACAGAUGGGUUACGAGAUAGUCCAGAGAAGCUGCAUUCUAAGAAGCAUUAUGACCUGUCUUCUUAGAAACAACACGGCAUCACUUUUACCACAUUCUUUUGGUCACAAGGAGAGGGAAUUACACAUCACCUGAUUUUGGAUGCAUGUGUGAGGUAUGCUACUGUACUCACAAGACAUCUGAAACUAUACCCAGAUCAUCUAGAAGUGAACAUGUUCCAGGUGAUGUCCCUAUGUAAACCAAGGGUUGGUUUUCAGUGGGUAGAAAAUGCCCUUCAAACACUGACCCUGUCAUAUUGCAGAUGCCUUCAGCUCUGAAGGCUGGGAAAUUUAAAGUCAAGGACCACCAGGUUUGGUGUCUGGUGAAGGCUGCUCUCUUUGCCUUUGAGAUGAUGUCCUGUUUCUGUGUCCUCCUGAGGGAAUGAACACUGUGUCCUCACAUGGUUGGCAGAAUCAGAAGUGGAAAAGGGGCUUAAGCUAGCUCCCUCCAGCCCAUUCAUAAGGCAUGUAAUCAUUUAUCUAAAAGGCUCACCUCUUUAUACUACCACAAUCAGGAUGAAGCUUCAAUGUGCAUCUGGGAGGGGACACACAUUCAAAUUGUAGUCCAUGGGUUACUUUAAUCAAACUCCAAUUUUUUAAAUAUUUACUCCCCUCUUAGUUCAUUUAGAAUCUUGUCACCAUGUUCUGUACACAGUUUUAAUUUCUCUCUUUCUCUUUUUCUUUUGAUAAGGGUAAACUCUUUUGUACAUAUGAUGAGUCUAUAAAGUCUUGACAAUUUUAUGUAUGUAAUAUUUCAUAAAAUUUCACAAAUACUUUAUUAUACCUAUCCUUUGAAAUCAGUAUGAGAAAAUCUAAUAAAAUUUUUUUA